AGUGAACGCUGGCGGUAGGCCUAACACAUGCAAGUCGAACGGCAGCACAGUAAGAGCUUGCUCUUACGGGUGGCGAGUGGCGGACGGGUGAGGAAUACAUCGGAAUCUACUUUUUCGUGGGGGAUAACGUAGGGAAACUUACGCUAAUACCGCAUACGACCUACGGGUGAAAGCAGGGGAUAUUCGGACCUUGCGCGAUUGAAUGAGCCGAUGUCGGAUUAGCUAGUUGGCGGGGUAAAGGCCCACCAAGGCGACGAUCCGUAGCUGGUCUGAGAGGAUGAUCAGCCACACUGGAACUGAGACACGGUCCAGACUCCUACGGGAGGCAGCAGUGGGGAAUAUUGGACAAUGGGCGCAAGCCUGAUCCAGCCAUACCGCGUGGGUGAAGAAGGCCUUCGGGUUGUAAAGCCCUUUUGUUGGGAAAGAAAAGCAGCAGGUGAAUACCCCGCUGUUCUGACGGUACCCAAAGAAUAAGCACCGGCUAACUUCGUG
This 492-nucleotide ribosomal RNA is filed under the name uncultured bacterium. RNAcentral describes it as "partial 16S ribosomal RNA". It matches the Rfam family "Bacterial small subunit ribosomal RNA", at positions 29 to 507 of the family's 1533-position model. The record is from RNAcentral.